RNAcentral lists this ribosomal RNA (1337 nucleotides) under Escherichia coli. RNAcentral describes it as "partial 23S ribosomal RNA". It matches the Rfam family "Bacterial large subunit ribosomal RNA", at positions 407 to 1746 of the family's 2925-position model. The record is from RNAcentral. Lineage: Bacteria; Pseudomonadati; Pseudomonadota; Gammaproteobacteria; Enterobacterales; Enterobacteriaceae.
GAUGAGUAGGGCGGGACACGUGGUAUCCUGUCUGAAUAUGGGGGGACCAUCCUCCAAGGCUAAAUACUCCUGACUGACCGAUAGUGAACCAGUACCGUGAGGGAAAGGCGAAAAGAACCCCGGCGAGGGGAGUGAAAAAGAACCUGAAACCGUGUACGUACAAGCAGUGGGAGCACGCUUAGGCGUGUGACUGCGUACCUUUUGUAUAAUGGGUCAGCGACUUAUAUUCUGUAGCAAGGUUAACCGAAUAGGGGAGCCGAAGGGAAACCGAGUCUUAACUGGGCGUUAAGUUGCAGGGUAUAGACCCGAAACCCGGUGAUCUAGCCAUGGGCAGGUUGAAGGUUGGGUAACACUAACUGGAGGACCGAACCGACUAAUGUUGAAAAAUUAGCGGAUGACUUGUGGCUGGGGGUGAAAGGCCAAUCAAACCGGGAGAUAGCUGGUUCUCCCCGAAAGCUAUUUAGGUAGCGCCUCGUGAAUUCAUCUCCGGGGGUAGAGCACUGUUUCGGCAAGGGGGUCAUCCCGACUUACCAACCCGAUGCAAACUGCGAAUACCGGAGAAUGUUAUCACGGGAGACACACGGCGGGUGCUAACGUCCGUCGUGAAGAGGGAAACAACCCAGACCGCCAGCUAAGGUCCCAAAGUCAUGGUUAAGUGGGAAACGAUGUGGGAAGGCCCAGACAGCCAGGAUGUUGGCUUAGAAGCAGCCAUCAUUUAAAGAAAGCGUAAUAGCUCACUGGUCGAGUCGGCCUGCGCGGAAGAUGUAACGGGGCUAAACCAUGCACCGAAGCUGCGGCAGCGACGCUUAUGCGUUGUUGGGUAGGGGAGCGUUCUGUAAGCCUGUGAAGGUGUGCUGUGAGGCAUGCUGGAGGUAUCAGAAGUGCGAAUGCUGACAUAAGUAACGAUAAAGCGGGUGAAAAGCCCGCUCGCCGGAAGACCAAGGGUUCCUGUCCAACGUUAAUCGGGGCAGGGUGAGUCGACCCCUAAGGCGAGGCCGAAAGGCGUAGUCGAUGGGAAACAGGUUAAUAUUCCUGUACUUGGUGUUACUGCGAAGGGGGGACGGAGAAGGCUAUGUUGGCCGGGCGACGGUUGUCCCGGUUUAAGCGUGUAGGCUGGUUUUCCAGGCAAAUCCGGAAAAUCAAGGCUGAGGCGUGAUGACGAGGCACUACGGUGCUGAAGCAACAAAUGCCCUGCUUCCAGGAAAAGCCUCUAAGCAUCAGGUAACAUCAAAUCGUACCCCAAACCGACACAGGUGGUCAGGUAGAGAAUACCAAGGCGCUUGAGAGAACUCGGGUGAAGGAACUAGGCAAAAUGGUGCCGUAACUUCGGGAGAAGG